CCUACGGGGGGCUGCAGUAAGGAAUAUUGGUCAAUGGAGGAAACUCUGACCCAGCCAUCCCGCGUGAAGGAUGAAGGGGCUCUGCCUUGUAAACUUCUUUUGUCUGGGGCGAAAAAGCUCGAUUUAUCGAGAACUGACGGUACCAGAAGAAUAAGCACCGGCUAACUCCGUGCCAGCAGCCGCGGUACUACGGAGGGUGCAAGCGUUAUCCGGAAUCACUGGGUUGAAGGGGUCCGUGGGCGGCUUAGGAGAAAGGCUGUGGCGUAACCAUGGAAUUGCCAUUGAUACUGCAGAGAGUGAAUGAGGUUGAGGGUGGCGGAAUGGGACAUGUAGCGGUGAAAUGCUUAGAUAUGUCAUGGAACACCGAUUGCGAAGGCAGCUGACUGGACCUAUAUUGACGCUGAGGCACGAAAGCGUGGGGAGCGAACAGGAUUAGAUACCCCGGUAGUC
Molecule: ribosomal RNA, 450 nt
Filed under: uncultured bacterium
Lineage: Bacteria
Description: partial 16S ribosomal RNA
Rfam family: Bacterial small subunit ribosomal RNA
Source: RNAcentral